Molecule: ribosomal RNA, 415 nt
Filed under: uncultured euryarchaeote
Lineage: Archaea; Methanobacteriati; Methanobacteriota
Description: bacterial SSU rRNA
Rfam family: Archaeal small subunit ribosomal RNA
Source: RNAcentral
GUGCAGCAGGCGAGAAUUUUUUGCAAUGCACGCAAGUGUGACAAAGUGAACCAGAGUGCUUUUCAUAUUGAAAGGCUUUUGUGAAAUGUAAAAAGUUUCACGAAUAAGGAUUGGGUAAGACUAGUGCCAGCCGCCGCGGUAAUACCAGCGGUCCAAGUGGGACUCACAUUUACUGGGUCUAAAACAUCCGUAGCUGGUUUUGUAAGUUUCCUGUUAAAUUGUUACUCUUAAGGUAACAGCUGCAAGAAAUACUGCAAGGCUAGAGACUGGGAGACGUAGCAAGUACAGGAGGGGUAGUGGUAAAAUACGUUAAUCUCUUCUGGACUAACAAUGGCGAAGGCAUGCUACGAGAACAGCUCUGACAGUCAUGGAUGAAGGCGAGGGGCGCAAAACGGAUUAGAUACCCCCGUAGUCC